Molecule: ribosomal RNA, 1587 nt
Filed under: Rhinoptilus africanus (double-banded courser)
Lineage: Eukaryota; Metazoa; Chordata; Aves; Charadriiformes; Glareolidae
Description: 16S ribosomal RNA
Rfam family: Bacterial large subunit ribosomal RNA
Source: RNAcentral
AGCCCAACUCUAGCUCAGCCACACCCACAAACAACAAUAAUCCAUUACCUCCACUAAACUAAAACAUUCUCCAAACUUAGUAUAGGCGAUAGAAAAGAAACUCGGCGCGAUAGAGACUCUGUACCGUAAGGGAAAGAUGAAAUAAUAAUGAAAAACCAAGCAAUAAAAAGCAAAGAUAAACCCUUGUACCUUUUGCAUCAUGAUUUAGCAAGAACAAUCAAGCAAAGUGAACUUAAGCUUGCCAUCCCGAAACCCAAGCGAGCUACUUGCAAGCAGCUACUUAUGAGCGAACCCGUCCCUGUUGCAAAAGAGUGGGAUGACUUGCUAGUAGAGGUGAAAAGCCAACCGAGCUGGGUGAUAGCUGGUUGUCUGUGAAGCGAAUUUAAGUUCUCCCUUGACCCCCUCCCUCCCGGACACUAAACCCAACCACCGUGUAGCUAGUCAAGAGCAAUUUAAAGGAGGUACAGCUCCUUUAAAAAAGAAUACAAUCUCCUCCAGUGGAUAACCCCCUUCAACACAUGAACUGUAGGCCUUCAAGCAGCCAUCAACAAAGAGUGCGUCAAAGCUCCACAUACAAAAAUCCAACAAUAACAUGACUCCCUCCUCACUAACAGACUAACCUAUACAACAAUAGGAGAAUUAAUGCUAAAAUGAGUAACCAGGGAUCCACCCCUCUAGGCGCAAACUUACAUCCGCACAUUAUUAACAGACAACGGGCUGAUAUCUAAAUUCCAACAAGAUCAAGAUAUCGGACUUACCCUGUUACCCCAACCCAGGAGCGCCCGUUAGAAAGAUUAAAACCUGUAAAAGGAACUAGGCAAACCAAGGGCCCGACUGUUUACCAAAAACAUAGCCUUCAGCUAGCCAAGUAUUGAAGGUGAUGCCUGCCCAGUGACACAAUGUUUAACGGCCGCGGUAUCCUAACCGUGCGAAGGUAGCGCAAUCAAUUGUCCCAUAAAUCGAGACUUGUAUGAAUGGCUAAACGAGGUCCUAACUGUCUCUUACAGGUAAUCAGUGAAAUUGAUCUCCCCGUGCAAAAGCAGGGAUGCCCCCAUAAGACGAGAAGACCCUGUGGAACUUAAAAAUCAAUGGCCACCACACGCAAACUCUAACCUGCCAGGCUCACUAUCCCCAAACACUGGCCCACAUUUUUUGGUUGGGGCGACCUUGGAGAAAAACAAAGCCUCCAAAAACAAGACCACACCUCUUAACCAAGAGCAACCCCUCAACGUACUAAUAGUAGUCAGACCCAAUAUAAUUGACCAAUGGACCAAGCUACCCCAGGGAUAACAGCGCAAUCUCCUCCAAGAGCCCGCAUCGACGGGGAGGUUUACGACCUCGAUGUUGGAUCAGGACAUCCUAAUGGUGCAGCCGCUAUUAAGGGUUCGUUUGUUCAACGAUUAACAGUCCUACGUGAUCUGAGUUCAGACCGGAGCAAUCCAGGUCGGUUUCUAUCUAUGACAAACUUUCUCUAGUACGAAAGGACCGAGAAAGUAGGGCCCAUACUUCAAGCACGCCCUCUCCCCAAGUAAUGCAUCCAACUAAAUUACCAAGGGACCCACAUAAUUAUGUCCUAGAAAAGGAACU